This is a non-coding RNA of Triticum urartu, 134 nucleotides long. The record is from Rfam. NCBI's taxonomy places the organism in Eukaryota, Viridiplantae, Streptophyta, Magnoliopsida, Poales, Poaceae.
AUAGUACUCCUUCUCCCGAAAAUAUUUAUCAUCAAAAUGAAUAAAAUGAGAUGUAUCUAGACAUAUUUUAAUUCUAAAUACAUUCAUUUUUAUUCAUUUUGAUGACAAGUAUUUUCGGACGGAGGGAGUAUACU